This 84-nucleotide transfer RNA is filed under the name Cloacimonas sp. (SeqCode). RNAcentral's name for it is "tRNA-Tyr". Lineage: Bacteria; Pseudomonadati; Candidatus Cloacimonadota; Cloacimonadia (SeqCode); Cloacimonadales (SeqCode); Cloacimonadaceae (SeqCode). The record is from RNAcentral.
GGGGGCGAGGUAGCUGGUGGUUAGCUACGACUGUCUGUAAAACAGUUUCCUCUGGAUGCGUAGGUUCGACACCUACCGCCCCCA